This 373-nucleotide ribosomal RNA is filed under the name uncultured cyanobacterium. RNAcentral describes it as "bacterial SSU rRNA". It matches the Rfam family "Bacterial small subunit ribosomal RNA", at positions 404 to 792 of the family's 1533-position model. Lineage: Bacteria; Bacillati; Cyanobacteriota. The record is from RNAcentral.
GGGGAUGAAGGUUUGUGGAUUGUAAACCCCUUUUGAUUGGGAAGAAUAACUGACGGUACCAAUCGAAUAAGCAUCGGCUAAGUCCGUGCCAGCAGCCGCGGUAAUACGGAGGAUGCAAGCGUUAUCCGGAAUUAUUGGGCGUAAAGCGUCCGCAGGUGGCUAUGUAAGUCUGCUGUUAAAGGCUGGGGCUUAACUCCAGACAGGCAGUGGAAACUACUAGACUAGAGUGCGGUAGGGGCAGAGGGAAUUCCCAGUGUAGCGGUGAAAUGCGUAGAUAUUGGGAAGAACAUCGGUGGCGAAGGCGCGCUACUGGACCGGAACUGACACUCAGGGACGAAAGCUAGGGGAGCGAAAGGGAUUAGAUACCCCUGUA